CUCAUGUGCCUUCUGAGCUCUGCAGGCAGAGAGCAGCAAGUAGAUCAUUAAUUAGAAAAUGAAACAGCCAUAUGCUCCCUGUCUGCUACUUUCAAGAAAGGUCAGUUCUGCCAGAUGAUGGCUCAUUUAAGAGUAUCAUCCAUUCUGCACAAGGUUUUCUUAGUCUUGUAUUUUGAUCUCAAAAGAAACUAUACAUAGUUCUUCUUCUUCUUUGUCAUCCAAUUGUGUGCAUCAAGUGUCCAGCAAUCUUAGCCAAAAAAGAAUUUUGCUGCAUUGAGAAGAAGCCACAGGUGGAAUAAGUCCAGAGUAUACAUAUCAUAUCUUUAGCAUCCAUUUCCAUCUCCAGAUCCACAACAGACCAAGAUUCCUGACAUGAGAAGUUAAUUAACACAGACCAAGCUUAUGCACCAAAUCUUAGUUCCUCAUCCUGGGUUGUCAAGUGCUGAUGAUAUUGGGCUGGCCUCCUAGAGAAAAUAAUUAAUCGGAUUAGGCUAAUUCAAGUUGAUUUAUUUUGUUCGAAUAGCUUAAACAAUGCGAGUCGAUUAGCACUAAUAAGUGAUGAAAGAUGAAGGAACACCUGAGAUGAUACUAUUCCAGCUUUCUCUUCUUGCUUGUGUUUCUCCUGUGAAUAUUAGAAAGAAAUGCCUAAAAGUUCAAAAUCUCAGAGGAAAUAUCUGAAAAGAAAGUGAUCAAGAGGAGAUAAAGAUGGAUGUGAUCAAGGUUGAUCCUCAAGUCCAAGUCAAGAUUU
This 748-nucleotide long non-coding RNA is filed under the name Musa acuminata (dwarf banana). Its description in RNAcentral is "long non-coding RNA (MACU_LNC005944)". Lineage: Eukaryota; Viridiplantae; Streptophyta; Magnoliopsida; Zingiberales; Musaceae. The record is from RNAcentral.